GAUUAAGAACGUAGUGAAAUGCGAUAAGUAGUGUGAAUUGCAGAAUUCAGUGAAUCAUCGAAUCUUUGAACGCACAUUGCGCCCCUUGGUAUCCCGAGGGGCAUGCCUGUUCGAGCGUCAUUUCACCACUCAAGCCUGGCUUGGUGUUGGGCGACGUCCCCUUUAGGGACGCGCCUCGAAACGCUCGGCGGCGCGGCACCGGCUUUAAGCGUAGCAGAAUCUUUCGCUUUGGAAGUCGGGGCCCCGCCUGCCGGAAUACCUACUUGUAAGGUUGACCUCGGAUCAGGCAGGGAUACCCGCUGAACUUAAGCAUAUCAAUAAGCGGAGGA
Molecule: unclassified non-coding RNA, 329 nt
Filed under: soil metagenome
Description: partial contains 5.8S ribosomal RNA, internal transcribed spacer 2, and large subunit ribosomal RNA
Rfam family: 5.8S ribosomal RNA (bases 1-120)
Source: RNAcentral